GACGAACGCUGGCGGCGUGCUUAACACAUGCAAGUCGAACGCUGAAGCUCAGCUUUUGUUGGGUGGAUGAGUGGCGAACGGGUGAGUAACACGUGAGUAACCUGCCCCCUUCUUUGGGAUAACGCCCGGAAACGGGUGCUAAUACUGGAUAUUCACUGGUCUUCGCAUGGGGGUUGGUGGAAAGGGUUUUUCUGGUGGGGGAUGGGCUCGCGGCCUAUCAGCUUGUUGGUGGGGUGAUGGCCUACCAAGGCUUUGACGGGUAGCCGGCCUGAGAGGGUGACCGGUCACAUUGGGACUGAGAUACGGCCCAGACUCCUACGGGAGGCAGCAGUGGGGAAUAUUGCACAAUGGGCGGAAGCCUGAUGCAGCGACGCCGCGUGAGGGAUGGAGGCCUUCGGGUUGUGAACCUCUUUCGCUCAUGGUCAAGCCGCAACAAUGGUUGUGGUGAGGGUAGUGGGUAAAGAAGCGCCGGCUAACUACGUG
Molecule: ribosomal RNA, 483 nt
Filed under: uncultured bacterium
Lineage: Bacteria
Description: partial 16S ribosomal RNA
Rfam family: Bacterial small subunit ribosomal RNA
Source: RNAcentral